RNAcentral lists this non-coding RNA (28 nucleotides) under Rattus norvegicus (Norway rat). Lineage: Eukaryota; Metazoa; Chordata; Mammalia; Rodentia; Muridae. The record is from RNAcentral.
UGCACAUGGAGGACUCUCUUCAGCGUGA